RNAcentral lists this ribosomal RNA (425 nucleotides) under uncultured bacterium. RNAcentral describes it as "partial 16S ribosomal RNA". It matches the Rfam family "Bacterial small subunit ribosomal RNA", at positions 354 to 796 of the family's 1533-position model. The record is from RNAcentral.
GUGGGGAAUCUUAGACAAUGGGCGCAAGCCUGAUCUAGCCAUGCCGCGUGAGCGAUGAAGGCCUUAGGGUUGUAAAGCUCUUUCAGUGGGGAAGAUAAUGACUGUACCCACAGAAGAAGCCCCGGCUAACUCCGUGCCAGCAGCCGCGGUAAUACGGAGGGGGCUAGCGUUGUUCGGAAUUACUGGGCGUAAAGCGCACGUAGGCGGACUGGAAAGUCAGGGGUGAAAUCCCGGGGCUCAACCCCGGAACUGCCUUUGAAACUCCCAGUCUUGAGGUCGAGAGAGGUGAGUGGAAUUCCGAGUGUAGAGGUGAAAGUCGUAGAUAUUCGGAGGAACACCAGUGGCGAAGGCGGCUCACUGGCUCGAUACUGACGCUGAGGUGCGAAAGCGUGGGGAGCAAACAGGAUUAGAUACCCUAGUAGUCC